AUGAAGAAGCAUAAAAUGGGGGAAACGGAGCGGUAGCUCAUAAGACGACGGGUCGGGAAGUCACAAUCAUCAAAUGCGGCAGUUUUAGUACUCAAUGUACAGUUCAUACCAACAAGGUGCAUGAAAUUUAUACCGUUGCGAUCUAAGUUCCUCGCCGCCCAAAAACCUGACUGGUCAAAGGAAGACAAGUCCAAGAUUCAGAUAAAUGGGGGAGCUAUAAUGUGGCCUACACUUUACCAUAACUAAGAAACAUGAGGAAACACAAUACUUCAUUGAGGAAUUCAGGUACAUAUACUAGUCCGUCAACACCAGAAUAUGGAGAUAACCAUUUUGGAGGAUUUCAGAAAGGCUGGAGCUCCGAGCGAGUUCCAUUGCCAAACAACAACAGCAGGAGGCAUAUUAGUGCUACUGCAUUGAUGCCAUUCUCUCUUCUACGUAUGAUAUUGAAUGGUCUUUGAGGUUCUUAAGUUGAAGAAUCAAGAAAGGAUUGGAUUGUAAGCUAGCAAAGUUGGAUAUAUAAUGAGAACAAAAAUUUCGAAGGAUGUUUGUUGUUCAUCCAACUAAGUAACUCUCUACCCCAAUGGUAGGGGUAAGCUUAUGGAGGAGCAGAGAAAGCAUCCAGAUCAAUUGGGACAUGAGUGACUAUUUGUUCUCUUUUGUAAAAGUAUAUGAUAUGUUUGAGUAGAGCAACCUUUUACUAUUUUAAUUUAUUUUGAAUGAUAUUUUUGGGGCUUUAGUUAUGUCUUGCUAAUAUAUUGCAUUUCUUAA
Molecule: long non-coding RNA, 768 nt
Organism: Nicotiana attenuata
Lineage: Eukaryota; Viridiplantae; Streptophyta; Magnoliopsida; Solanales; Solanaceae
Exons: 4
Source: RefSeq, a predicted model, not a curated record